AGUGUCCUACGGGAGGCAGCAGUGGGGAAUAUUGCGCAAUGGACGAAAGUCUGACGCAGCGACGCCGCGUGAGGGAUGAAGGUUUUCGGAUCGUAAACCUCUGUCAGGAGGGAAGAAAGCGCAUGGCGCCAAUCAGCCAUGCGUUGACGGUACCUCCAAAGGAAGCGCCGGCUAACUCCGUGCCAGCAGCCGCGGUAAUACGGAGGGCGCGAGCGUUAAUCGGAAUUACUGGGCGUAAAGCGCGCGUAGGCUGUUGUGUAAGUUGGGGGUGAAACCCCACGGCUCAACCGUGGAACCGCCGUUGG
This 305-nucleotide ribosomal RNA is filed under the name uncultured bacterium. RNAcentral describes it as "bacterial SSU rRNA". It matches the Rfam family "Bacterial small subunit ribosomal RNA", at positions 333 to 630 of the family's 1533-position model. The record is from RNAcentral.